GACGAACGCUGGCGGCGUGCUUAACACAUGCAAGUCGAACGGAAAGGCCCUGCUUUUGUGGGGUGCUCGAGUGGCGAACGGGUGAGUAACACGUGAGUAACCUGCCCUUGACUUUGGGAUAACUUCAGGAAACUGGGGCUAAUACCGGAUAGGAGCUCCUGCUGCAUGGUGGGGGUUGGAAAGUUUCGGCGGUUGGGGAUGGACUCGCGGCUUAUCAGCUUGUUGGUGGGGUAGUGGCUUACCAAGGCUUUGACGGGUAGCCGGCCUGAGAGAGUGACCGGCCACAUUGGGACUGAGAUACGGCCCAGACUCCUACGGGAGGCAGCAGUGGGGAAUAUUGCACAAUGGGCGGAAGCCUGAUGCAGCAACGCCGCGUGCGGGAUGACGGCCUUCGGGUUGUAACCCGCUUUCGCCUGUGACGAAGCGUGAGUGACGGUAAUGGGUAAAGAAGCACCGGCUAACUACGUG
Molecule: ribosomal RNA, 468 nt
Filed under: uncultured bacterium
Lineage: Bacteria
Description: partial 16S ribosomal RNA
Rfam family: Bacterial small subunit ribosomal RNA
Source: RNAcentral